AACGCAAAUUGCACUCUCCAGUUUUCCGGGAGAGUAUGCCUGUUUGAGGGUCAGCCUAAAAAAGAUCGACAUCGUUGCUGUUGUUUUCAUGGUAACUUUCGUCGGAGAUUAGGUCAUCUUAAACCCUUUCGGGUUUUUAAGCGACUUAAAAUUUUUUUGAACGAUUCUGAGAACGUUUCUAAGAUUUUUUCUUACAUGUUCAAGGUGUCUUUAUUAGACGUGGCCGUCUCAUCGGAUCGCGUUCAUAAUUUUUCGUUAACUGACCUCAGACAAAGAGUACCCGCUGAACUUAA
This 293-nucleotide unclassified non-coding RNA is filed under the name uncultured fungus. Its description in RNAcentral is "partial contains 5.8S ribosomal RNA and internal transcribed spacer 2". The record is from RNAcentral. Lineage: Eukaryota; Fungi.